ACGGCUCAGAAACACGUAGGUAAUCUACCCUCAGGCCUGGUAUAACCUUGGGAAACUGAGGCUAAUCCCGGAUAGGCACAGGCUUCUGGAAAGUGCCAGUGCCUAAAGCUCCGGCGCCUGAGGAUGAGCCUGCGGCUGAUUAGGUUGUUGGCGGGGUAAUGGCCCACCAAGCCGACGAUCGGUACGGGCAGUGAGAGCUGUAGCCCAGAGAUGGGGACUGAGACAAGGCCCCAGGCCCUACGGCGCGCAGCAGGCGCGAAACCUUCACAAUGCUCGAAAGAGUGAUGAGGGUACUCCGAGUGCCUAUGCUUUGCAUAGGCUUUUGUCUAGCGUAAAUAGUUGGGCGAAUAAGGGCUGGGCAAGACCGGUGCCAGCCGCCGCGGUAACACCGGCAGCCCAAGUGGUGACCGCUUUUAUUGGGCCUAAAGCGUCCGUAGCCGGACAGGCAAGUCUUUGGGUAAAUCCUACGUCUUAAGCGUGGGAAUUCUAAAGAUACUACCUGUCUUGAGGCCGGGAGAGGCUAGAGGUACUCCUGGGGUAGGGGUAAAAUCCUAUAAUCCCAGGGGGACCACCGAUGGCGAAGGCAUCUAGCUGGAACGGGCCUGACGGUGAGGGACGAAACCCAGGGGAGCGAGCCGGAUUAAAUACCCGGGUAGUCCUGGGCGUAAAUGAUGUGGGCUUGGUGUGAGCGCAUCGAUGAGGUGUGCUUGUGCCGUAGGGAAGCCGUUAAGCCCACCGCCUGGGGAGUACGGUCGCAAGGCUGAAACUUAAAGGAAUUGGCGGGGGAGCACUACAAGGGGUGGAGGCUGCGGUUUAAUUGGAUUCAACGCCGGGAAACUCACUGGGAGAGACAGUAGUAUGAUGGCCAGGUUAAUGACCUUGCUUGACAAGCUGAGAGGAGGUGCAUGGCCGCCGUCAGUUCGUACCGUGAGGCGUACUCUUAAGUGAGUCAACGAACGAGACCCUUAUCUGCAGUUGCCAGCUUGCCCUUCGGGGCGAAGGGGACUCUGCAGAGACCGCUGCUGCUAAAGCAGAGGAAGGAUAGGGCUACGGUAGGUCAGUAUGCCCCGAAUCUCCCAGGCUACACGC
This 1089-nucleotide ribosomal RNA is filed under the name uncultured archaeon. RNAcentral describes it as "bacterial SSU rRNA". It matches the Rfam family "Archaeal small subunit ribosomal RNA", at positions 85 to 1177 of the family's 1478-position model. The record is from RNAcentral.